GGGAAGAAGGAAGGGAGGGAGGGGCUUGGCUUGUCAGUAGAUUCUGAAAUGUGAGCAAGCAUAUCGAGAACAAUCUAAGUCAACCGUAUAAGUGCAUUGGCUCCCUUCAUUAAAAUUAUAUUAAAUUAAUAAGGACACAGAAACAGAGAGCAAUCCCGAUCCCGAUCCCGAUCCCCUACCCCCAUCCCAAUCCAGCAUGUUAGUGACGGCGACUGCGGCAACAGUGGCUUCGGCAUCUAAUAAGUGCUUUAGGGCUCAUAACAACCUCCACCUCCUUCGCCAUCACCACUCUAAUUAUUACAAAUACAAGAAUAAUAAUAAAAAUCCUCUCUUAUUUCUAUGCUGCUUCAACCAUUCCCUCCCCAAUCAUCAUCACACCCGAAGAUGCCGCCUCCUUCUUGGGCCGAGCAGCACCGACAGCAGCACUGCUCUUCACGCCAGUUUCCCCUUCCUAUCCAACACAUCAUACUCCACUCCUCCCUCAGGGAAUCCCAAUGCUUUCCUUUCCAGUUCCUCCUCCUCCUCGACUCCUUUCCGGCCACCGAACUCAAUGCUCAAUGGCCACGCUUUCUUCUCAACCUCAGAUCCAAAGGAUAAAGACGAUGAUGAUGCUGCCAAUAAAGCUUCAUCAUCACCAUCGAUUACGACUCCUGCUAUUGCUGAUAAAUCAGACCAGCAACUUGCUGACAUGAAAAUCUUACGGACUCUGGCCAGUUAUUUAUGGAUGAAAGAUAACCCUGAAUUUCGCUUAAGGGUGCUUCUGGCCCUUGGUUUCCUUUUGGUUGCUAAGGUUUUGAAUGUUCAAGUCCCUUUUCUUUUUAAGCUGGCUGUCGAUUGGUUGACUGUUGCUACAGGCAAUGCUACCGCUCUUGCUUCUUUCACCGCUGCUAAUUCCACUUUCCUUGCUCUCUUUGCUACCCCUGCUUCUGUUCUCAUUGGUUAUGGCAUUGCGCGCUGUGGAUCCUCUGCUUUCAAUGAAUUGAGGACUGCUGUGUUCUCUAAAGUAGCUCUGAGGACAAUCCGAACUGUGUCUGGGAAGGUUUUUUCACAUUUGCAUGAGCUUGACCUCCGUUUUCAUCUUAGUCGAGAAACUGGUGGGUUAAGUAGAAUAAUUGAUCGUGGUAGCCGAGCAAUAAACUUCAUCCUCUCAUCUAUGGUAUUCAAUGUUGUACCAACCAUUCUAGAGAUAUCUAUGGUUUCAAGUAUACUGGCAUACAAAUUUGGAGCCCCUUUCGCAUUGAUCACUUCGCUCUCAGUCGCUGCAUAUGUUACUUUCACAUUGUCUGUGACACAGUGGAGAACCAAGUUCAGGAAGGCCAUGAAUAAAGCUGAUAAUGAUGCUAGUACAAAGGCAAUUGAUUCCCUUAUCAAUUAUGAGACUGUCAAAUAUUUCAACAAUGAAGCUUAUGAAGCUGAGCAAUAUGAUGAGUACUUAAAGAGGUAUGAAGAUGCUGCCUUAAAAACAUCGCAAAGUCUUGCUUUUUUGAAUUUUGGCCAAAAUGUGAUUUUUAGCACAGCUCUGUCAACAGCUAUGGUUUUAUGUUCACAUGGAAUUAUGAAUAGCCAGAUGACUGUUGGUGAUUUGGUUAUGGUAAAUGGACUACUCUUCCAGCUCUCCCUUCCACUUAAUUUCCUUGGCAGUGUUUACCGUGAGACAAUACAGAGUCUUGUUGACAUGAAGUCAAUGUUUCACUUACUCGAGGAGAAACCUGAUAUUAGAGAUAAAGAUGAUGCCAAACCUCUAAUGUUAAAGGGAGGUGGCAUUCAAUUUGACAAUGUACACUUCAGCUACUUGGCAGAAAGAAAAAUUCUUGAUGGUGUAACUUUUUCUGUACCAGCUGGAAAAAGUGUGGCUAUUGUUGGAACAAGUGGUAGUGGCAAGUCAACCAUUCUUAGAUUACUCUUCAGGCUUUUCGACACUAUUUCUGGAAGUAUACAAAUUGAUGGUCAAGAUACAAGGGAUGUAACACUGGAUAGUUUGCGGAGGUCUAUUGGUGUUGUCCCACAAGACACAGUACUUUUCAAUGACACAAUAUUUCACAACAUUCAUUAUGGUCGUCUUUCAGCAACGAGAGAGGAAGUCUAUGAUGCUGCCCGACAUGCUGCAAUCCAUGACAUUGUCAUGAACUUCCCUGAUAAAUAUUCUACAAUAGUAGGAGAACGAGGGCUCAAGUUAAGUGGUGGUGAGAAGCAGCGUGUGGCUUUGGCCCGUGCAUUUUUGAAAGCCGCUCCUAUCAUGCUAUGUGAUGAAGCUACAAGUGCUCUUGACAGCACCACUGAAGCAGAGAUUCUAAAUGCAUUGAAAUCAUUAUCCAGCAAUCGAACUUCAGUUUUCAUUGCCCAUAGGCUUACAACUGCCAUGCAGUGUGAUGAGAUAAUAGUUCUGGAGAAUGGUAAAGUGGUUGAACAGGGACCCCAUGAAGUUCUAUUGACCAAGGCAGGUAGAUAUGCGCAGCUCUGGGCACAGCAAAAUAGCACAGUGGAUGCCCUUGAUUCAGCCAUUAAAUUGGAGGCAUAGAUGUUGCAAUCUUCCCUUGACCAUACAAAGCUUCAAGUUGUUCAGCUGCCAAUGUUGUUGACCUCCUAUGAAAUGCAACCUUGUUGUACAAGACCAAUUGAUGGUUGUCGUCCGUGGGUUCCAUCAUCAUAAUGAACAACCAAAGGGAUAAUAUCUGUUACGUCUUAGAAGAAAAGAAAGAAAGCAAUACCAUUUGAUGGAUGAAGACAAUUUCAACUGAGAUUAUGGGGUUAAGGGGGCAUACAAGAGUAGAAGAAGAAUGCUGAAAGAGGAGGGAACAGGUCAGAUUUAUGGGCUCGUGCAUGGACAAACCAGAAGGAGUGCAAGAAUAUGGGCUUUGGAGGAGAAAGCACACCAACUCUCCCUCCAAAGACGGCCUCAUAAGCCACCGCCAUCACCAUCAGCAUUAGAAAGUAAAAAGAAAAGGAGGGGCCGCAAACGCAAAAGCCUCCUCCUGUACAUGGGCGUUAAUUCUGUUGCUCCCCUCAUGAACCAGAAGGUCUGUCUCCCCCCCUUCUUUGCUUUUACUUUUAAGAAAAAUAUUUUGCUUACGAACUUAUAUGUCCUUUAUAUUUAAAAAAAAAAAAACAAAAUUAUUUACCUAUGAUAAAAAUUAAUGUGGUGAUAUUUGAUUGGAUUGGGCUCUCUUAUAGUCAGUCCCAUAUAGAUGUUUGGGCAAAUGGCUAUGGUAAAGACGAUGUAAGGCCGAGGCCCUUGGUUGUGAGGUCCAGCAUGUUAUCAUAUAUAUAUAUAUAAAACCUAAAAGGCAUAAGUGAUUCGGAGCAA
RNA transcript from Populus nigra (black poplar), 3304 nucleotides. It is a transcript of the gene named ABC transporter B family member 25, mitochondrial-like, with no coding region annotated. Lineage: Eukaryota; Viridiplantae; Streptophyta; Magnoliopsida; Malpighiales; Salicaceae. The record is from RefSeq and is a predicted model, not a curated record. The transcript is spliced from 20 exons.